This 253-nucleotide ribosomal RNA is filed under the name uncultured bacterium. RNAcentral describes it as "partial 16S ribosomal RNA". It matches the Rfam family "Bacterial small subunit ribosomal RNA", at positions 524 to 776 of the family's 1533-position model. The record is from RNAcentral.
UACAGAGGGCCCGAGCGUUGUUCGGAAUUACUGGGCGUAAAGGGCUCGUAGGCGGCCAACUAAGUCAGACGUGAAAUCCCCAGGCUCAACCUGGGAACUGCGUCUGAUACUGGAUGGCUUGAAUCCGGGAGAGGGAUGCAGAAUUCCAGGUGUAGCGGUGAAAUUCGUAGAUAUCAGGAGGAACACCGGUGGCGAAGGCGGCCGCCUGGACAGUCACUGACGCUGAGACGCGAAAGCGUGGGGAGCAAACAGG